AAAAGAGAUGGUGCAAUCAGAGUGAUGUGCAGUGCAAUACUUGAAUGCAUUUUCUUGUGCAUGUAAGUGGUAAAGGUUGAAACGGUAUUGUGGUCCAAAGACUGUAGAAUGCAUUGCAAAUGCUUUGUUUGGCACAGCUUUUGAUUUAAAAAAAAAAAAAAGAUGAGGAAGACUGACUUUAUACUUCAUGUGAUACUCUAGGGCUUUAGAAAUAAUAGAGAAAGGUUCGAGGAUCUUGCUGGCCACUUUCCAUGACCCUGCUCAGCAAGUGCAUGCCCACAUCAUGAUGCUGUCACCUCUUUAUUACAAGGGGCAAUCGGAGUGAUCUUAUAUAUUAGUUUUCCGUCACUUGUGGUAUUAUGCAUGUAAAACAAAAAGAAAAUAGUAAAUAUUUCUGGUGUGGAGACUGCUGAACGCUUUAAAAAAAAUGCUUAGAGAAAAAAAGGGGGUCAAAAUUGACUCUGAAUGUAAACCGUAAGAUUUUGAAAUCGCCGCAAAAAGCUGACAAGUGUUGCUGACAUUUUGUUUUAAAGCCCAUAACAAUUAUCUCUGCUUUUACCAAACUAUCACACAGCUACGGCACGGUUAGUCGUCAGAAAAUCUCGGUGUAUAGAUCCCAAUCCACGUCUCUGAUUACAAUUUGAAAACGAAGCCACUCCCUUCUGAAGCUCUGACACAAAUGGCAGAAUGAUGCGUCUCUCGUCUUAACGAGUUCGCUAUUAAAAACCUACAGAAAUGUAAAGCGUGACACGUGAUGUGGACAUACAUGGACUGUGAAGACCGCCGCAGAAUACAGAGUCACCCACCUUUACAAACUGUGACCAUGGUAACGGCAAAAUCAAAAGACGACAGUCAGAGUGAUGAAAUGCUUUUUUGUGCGUGUGCGUGUGCGUGUGUGUGUGUGUGCGUGCAUUUGUGUUCUGUGUUUUCAUGGUACCUGCACCAAAUUUAACAUCUCCAAAGCAGAGCAGGUCACAGCUGCAGCUGGCACAGUUGAAAAGAGAGGAAGACAUUCUGAAGACAUGGGAUUAUGGUCCUUCCUCUACCAACAAAAACGACGACAGCCUAGCAGAAACACAAAGAAACACGGAGAGAGGGGUGUCGGCCGUUCACCAUACCGUGGUUGCUCAUGCUGCAGUCACAUGAAGCCCCAGCAUGCGCUUCAAAAGAAAAGAAAAAAAAAAAAUCCUGCAGCAACGCCCAGGGACUGCAACAACUCAAUCUCCAAAAUAUCUGACCGGUGCUGCUUUUUUAUGUUGGAUCUGCAACAAGGAAGUGCAGUUUUGUUUGGGAGGGGUGGGGGGGAAAGGGGGUUACUCUGUACUUGCUGUGAACAAUGCUGAGGGUGGAGUUAAAACAUAACCUACUACACCAUGUGUAAUGUUCAUAGCUUGUCAGCUAUGAAUAAACUUAGUCCAAAAUCACAGUACUUCUUCUGCAAACCAUUAAGGAGUCAAUAAGUAUCACCACCACUAUGGGAGUAAGGAUGCUUUCAUUUUAUUUACUCUGCUGCUGCCUCAGAUUUAACAGGGGCGCCCAACAUGCAUACAGAGUACAGCGCACUCAUUCACAAAUCUAUUUCUCAAAUCAUUCCCCCCCCCCCUCCCCCCAAUAAAUUAACACAAGCAAUGAAAUAUGUUCCGUCCUAAGAGGUGAAACACAGUUCCUCUCCCUGGCUGUUCUUCUGAAUGAAGAGGUGCAUUCAUUCAGCUGGCACGUUUAACAAAUUCUGAUGCCAAAAAAAAAUAAAAAUAAAAAAAGCAAUUCACAGGGUGAAAAUACAGUGUUUCGAUGAAAUCGUGGA
Poecilia latipinna (sailfin molly) is the source of this 1804-nucleotide long non-coding RNA. RefSeq lists it as uncharacterized. The transcript is spliced from 3 exons. NCBI's taxonomy places the organism in Eukaryota, Metazoa, Chordata, Actinopteri, Cyprinodontiformes, Poeciliidae. The record is from RefSeq and is a predicted model, not a curated record.